GGAAUUAUUGGGCGUAAAGAGCUCGUAGGUGGUUGGUCACGUCUGCUGUGGAAACGCAACGCUUAACGUUGCGCGUGCAGUGGGUACGGGCUGACUAGAGUGCAGUAGGGGAGUCUGGAAUUCCUGGUGUAGCGGUGAAAUGCGCAGAUAUCAGGAGGAACACCGGUGGCGAAGGCGGGACUCUGGGCUGUAACUGACACUGAGGAGCGAAAGCAUGGGGAGCGAACAGGAUUAGAUACCCUGGUAGUCCAUGCCGUAAACGUUGGGCACUAGGUGUGGGGGACAUUCCACGUUCUCCGCGCCGUAGCUAACGCAUUAAGUGCCCCGCCUGGGGAGUACGGUCGCAAGGCUAAAACUCAAAGGAAUUGACGGGGGCCCGCACAAGCGGCGGAGCAUGCGGAUUAAUUCGAUGCAACGCGAAGAACCUUACCAAGGCUUGACAUACACCAGACCGUUCUGGAAACAGUUCCUCCCCUUUGGGGUUGGUGUACAGGUGGUGCAUGGUUGUCGUCAGCUCGUGUCGUGAGAUGUUGGGUUAAGUCCCGCAACGAGCGCAACCCUCGUUCUAUGUUGCCAGCACGUAAUGGUGGGAACUCAUAGGAGACUGCCGGGGUCAACUCGGAGGAAGGUGGGGAUGACGUCAAAUCAUCAUGCCCUUUAUGUCUUGGGCUUCACGCAUGCUACAAUGGCUGGUACAGAGAGAUGCGAGACCGCGAGGUUUUAGCGAAUCCCUUAAAGCCAGUCUCAGUUCGGAUCGUAGUCUGCAAUUCGACUACGUGAAGUCGGAGUCGCU
This 793-nucleotide ribosomal RNA is filed under the name uncultured bacterium. RNAcentral's name for it is "bacterial SSU rRNA". It matches the Rfam family "Bacterial small subunit ribosomal RNA", at positions 547 to 1336 of the family's 1533-position model. The record is from RNAcentral.